Molecule: ribosomal RNA, 1462 nt
Filed under: Salinivibrio socompensis S10B
Lineage: Bacteria; Pseudomonadati; Pseudomonadota; Gammaproteobacteria; Vibrionales; Vibrionaceae
Description: bacterial LSU rRNA
Rfam family: Bacterial large subunit ribosomal RNA
Source: RNAcentral
GUGGGCCUGGCGAUGGUCGUCCAGGUUCAAGGGUGUAGGCUGUAAUCUUAGGCAAAUCCGGAUUACACACGGUCGAGACCCGAUGUCGAGCCACCAAGGUGGUGAAGUCAUUGAUGCCAUGCUUCCGGGAAAAGCCUCUAAGCUUCAGGUAAGUAGGAACCGUACUCCAAACCGACACAGGUGGUCGGGUAGAGAAUACCAAGGCGCUUGAGAGAACUCGGGUGAAGGAACUAGGCAAAAUGGUACCGUAACUUCGGGAGAAGGUACGCUGCCCGCGGUGAAGUCCCUUGCGGAUGGAGCUGAGGGCAGUCGCAGAUACCAGGUGGCUGCAACUGUUUAUUAAAAACACAGCACUGUGCAAAAUCGAAAGAUGACGUAUACGGUGUGACGCCUGCCCGGUGCCGGAAGGUUAAUUGAUGUGGUUAUCGCAAGAGAAGCCAUUGAUCGAAGCCCCGGUAAACGGCGGCCGUAACUAUAACGGUCCUAAGGUAGCGAAAUUCCUUGUCGGGUAAGUUCCGACCUGCACGAAUGGCGUAAUGAUGGCCACGCUGUCUCCACCCGAGACUCAGUGAAAUUGAAAUCGCAGUGAAGAUGCUGUGUACCCGCGGCUAGACGGAAAGACCCCGUGAACCUUUACUACAGCUUGGCACUGAACAUUGAGCCUACAUGUGUAGGAUAGGUGGGAGGCUUUGAAACGGCGACGCCAGUUGCCGCGGAGCCAACCUUGAAAUACCACCCUUGUAUGUUUGAUGUUCUAACUUAGCCCCCUUAUCGGGGGUGAGGACAGUGCCUGGUGGGUAGUUUGACUGGGGCGGUCUCCUCCCAAAGUGUAACGGAGGAGCACGAAGGUGGGCUAAUCACGGUCGGACAUCGUGAGGUUAGUGCAAUGGCAUAAGCCGCUUAACUGCGAGAGUGACGGCUCGAGCAGGUACGAAAGUAGGUCAUAGUGAUCCGGUGGUUCUGAAUGGAAGGGCCAUCGCUCAACGGAUAAAAGGUACUCCGGGGAUAACAGGCUGAUACCGCCCAAGAGUUCAUAUCGACGGCGGUGUUUGGCACCUCGAUGUCGGCUCAUCACAUCCUGGGGCUGAAGUCGGUCCCAAGGGUAUGGCUGUUCGCCAUUUAAAGUGGUACGCGAGCUGGGUUUAGAACGUCGUGAGACAGUUCGGUCCCUAUCUGCCGUGGGCGUUGGAUGAUUGAGGGGAGCUGCUCCUAGUACGAGAGGACCGGAGUGGACGAACCGCUGGUGUUCGGGUUGUGUCGCCAGACGCAUUGCCCGGUAGCUAAGUUCGGCACAGAUAAGCGCUGAAAGCAUCUAAGCGCGAAGCUGGCCCCGAGAUGAGUCAUCCCUAGAGCUUUAAGCUCUCUAAAGGGUUGUCGUAGACGACGACGUUGAUAGGCAGGGUGUGUAAGCGCUGUGAGGCGUUGAGCUAACCUGUACUAAUUGCCCGUGCGGCUUAACCAU